AUUGAACUCUGGCGGCAGGCCUAACACAUGCAAGUCGAGAGAGCGGAGGACGGGUGAGGAAAGUAUGGGGAAUGCCCGAUAGAGGGGGAUAACAACUGGAAACGGUAGCUAAUACCGCAUACUAUCGGAUAAACCAUAUGGGAUGAGCUAGUAGGUGAGGUAAUGGCUCACCCAGGCGACGAUCCCUAGCUGGUCUGAGAGGAUGAUCAGCCACACUGGGACUGAGACACGGCCCAGACUCCUACGGAGGCAGCAGUGGGGAAUAUUGCACAAUGGGCGCAAGCCUGAUGCAGCCAUGCCGCGUGUAUGAAGAAGGCCCUAGGGUUGUAAAGUACUUUCAGUCGGGAGGCGUUACCGGCAGAAGAAGCACCGGCUAACUCCGUGCCAGCAGCCGCGGUAAUUC
Molecule: ribosomal RNA, 403 nt
Filed under: uncultured bacterium
Lineage: Bacteria
Description: partial 16S ribosomal RNA
Rfam family: Bacterial small subunit ribosomal RNA
Source: RNAcentral